AAAAUGGCCGCUUUUGCGGCCAUUUUUUAUAUUUGUAAAGGAGCAGU
Molecule: non-coding RNA, 47 nt
Organism: Ruminococcaceae bacterium D16
Lineage: Bacteria; Bacillati; Bacillota; Clostridia; Eubacteriales; Oscillospiraceae
Source: Rfam